AUGCACUUGAUUAUCCGUCGUUUCACCUGUGUGGCCGUGGGAGGUAAAAAUCCUCCUCUCCUUCGACCGUCGUUUGAACGGCACACCUGUGCGGCACUCUGCGAUCGGCAGGACGUGACAGCGAGUGGAGCUAAUUAUUCAUUCAACUAUAGCAGCUUCACAUCACCUGAUUACGCCGCAAAGAGACCUGGAGGGCAGGGGAUCAAACAUUCCAUAUUCUUUCAGUUUGGAUUACGGCGAAGCGGAUGGUGGACCAAUAGGGCCAUCGACGAGACGGCACUGGCGCAUCGGCGCCGGAUAACUGAUCCGGUUAGCAGCAAGUUGAGCAGCAGCCAUCAGAAAAACGGGUUCCAGGGCCUUUCCGCAUCAUUGCUUGCUUGCACCGGAUCGACGUUUCGCUUGUAUGUACUACGUGCGUUUGUCUCGUGCCGAGUCGGGUGUGGCGAGACCUUUGUGCGCGCCGCAUUAACGUCCAACGGGAUGGGGUCAUGGGGCACCAGCGGUGGGCAUGGGGACUUUCGGCUCUUUUAUGACGGGAAGGUGGGGGAGGACCGUGCGGACGGCGAGAGCUCGGCGUCAGACCCCUCUUGCCCGUCGGGCUUCUCCGGCCCCUGGUUGUCGCCGCCCGCGACAAGCAAAGAUGUUGACUGGAAGGCAGCGAGGCGGCUGCUGCAGGGCACCGUCACGCCGUCGCUGGAGCGCGAGCUUGCCGCGUUCAAGCCCAGCGAGGCGGCUGCUGCAGGGCACCGUCACGCCGUCGCUAGAGCGCGAGCUCGCCGCGUUCAAGCCGGCCGACGUCGUCGCCUCAAGCUACGUUACGAGCUCGACGAGACGACCAAGGCGGCGGCGGCGCGGGAGGAGCUGUGCAGGAAAAUGAAGGCGUGGGAGCGCGACACCGCCGAGGCGGACGCGCUGCGGGCGGAGCUACGCAAGGCCAAGGCCGUGCUCGCCGAGACCAAGGCGGACGCGGGGAUUACGGCAGCGGCGGCGCGUGGGCUCUGGGAGGAGUUGGACAGGAAGCAGAAGCAACGGGAGCGCGACGUCGCCGAGUCGGACGCGCUUCGGGCGGAGCUGGACAAGGCGAAGGCCGAGCUCGCCGCGACCAAGGCGGACGCGGAGAGGGCGGCGGCGCGGUGGUUCUGA
This 1143-nucleotide ribosomal RNA is filed under the name Triticum aestivum (bread wheat). Its description in RNAcentral is "partial small subunit ribosomal RNA". Lineage: Eukaryota; Viridiplantae; Streptophyta; Magnoliopsida; Poales; Poaceae. The record is from RNAcentral.